AGAGUUUGAUCCUGGCUCAGAACGAACGCUGGCGGCGUGGAUAAGACAUGCAAGUCGAACGAGAGAAUUGCUAGCUUGCUAAUAAUUCUCUAGUGGCGCACAGGUGAGUAACACGUGAGUAACCUGCCCCCGAGAGCGGGAUAGCCCUGGGAAACUGGGAUUAAUACCGCAUAGUAUCGAAAGAUUAAAGCAGCAAUGCGCUUGGGGAUGGGCUCGCGGCCUAUUAGUUAGUUGGUGAGGUAACGGCUCACCAAGGCGAUGACGGGUAGCCGGUCUGAGAGGAUGUCCGGCCACACUGGAACUGAGACACGGUCCAGACACCUACGGGUGGCAGCAGUCGAGAAUCAUUCACAAUGGGGGAAACCCUGAUGGUGCGACGCCGCGUGGGGGAAUGAAGGUCUUCGGAUUGUAAACCCCUGUCAUGUGGGAGCAAAUUAAAAAGAUAGUACCACAAGAGGAAGAGACGGCUAACUCUGUGCCAGCAGCCGCGGUAAUACAGAGGUCUCAAGCGUUGUUCGGAAUCACUGGGCGUAAAGCGUGCGUAGGCUGUUUCGUAAGUCGUGUGUGAAAGGCGCGGGCUCAACCCGCGGACGGCACAUGAUACUGCGAGACUAGAGUAAUGGAGGGGGAACCGGAAUUCUCGGUGUAGCAGUGAAAUGCGUAGAUAUCGAGAGGAACACUCGUGGCGAAGGCGGGUUCCUGGACAUUAACUGACGCUGAGGCACGAAGGCCAGGGGAGCGAAAGGGAUUAGAUACCCCUGUAGUCCUGGCAGUAAACGGUGCACGCUUGGUGUGCGGGGAAUCGACCCCCUGCGUGCCGGAGCUAACGCGUUAAGCGUGCCGCCUGGGGAGUACGGUCGCAAGAUUAAAACUCAAAGAAAUUGACGGGGACCCGCACAAGCGGUGGAGUAUGUGGCUUAAUUCGAUGCAACGCGAAGAACCUUACCUGGGCUUGACAUGUAAUGAACAACAUGUGAAAGCAUGCGACUCUUCGGAGGCGUUACACAGGUGCUGCAUGGCCGUCGUCAGCUCGUGUCGUGAGAUGUUUGGUUAAGUCCAGCAACGAGCGCAACCCCUGUUGCCAGUUACCGGCACGUGAAGGUGGGGACUCUGGCGAGACUGCCCAGAUCAACUGGGAGGAAGGUGGGGACGACGUCAGGUCAGUAUGGCCCUUAUGCCCAGGGCUGCACACGUACUACAAUGCCCAGUACAGAGGGGGCCGAAGCCGCGAGGCGGAGGAAAUCCUAAAAACUGGGCCCAGU
RNAcentral lists this ribosomal RNA (1262 nucleotides) under metagenome. RNAcentral's name for it is "bacterial SSU rRNA". It matches the Rfam family "Bacterial small subunit ribosomal RNA", at positions 8 to 1292 of the family's 1533-position model. The record is from RNAcentral.